AUCAACUUUCGAUGGUAGGAUAGAGGCCUACCAUGGUGGUGACGGGUGACGGAGAAUUAGGGUUCGAUUCCGGAGAGGGAGCCUGAGAAACGGCUACCACAUCCAAGGAUGGCAGCAGGCGCGCAAAUUACCCAAUCCCGACACGGGGAGGUAGUGACAAUAAAUAACAAUACGGGGUUCUUUAGGAUCUCGUAAUUGGAAUGAGUACAAUUUAAAUCUCUUAACGAGGAACAAUUGGAGGGCAAGUCUGGUGCCAGCAGCCGCGGUAAUUCCAGCUCCAAUAGCGUAUAUUAAAGUUGUUGCAGUUAAAAAGCUCGUAGUUGAAUUUCGGGGUUAGUAGGUUGGUCAUGCCUCCGGUAUGUACUGAUCUCACUGAUUCCUCCUUCCUUAUGAACCGUAAUGCCAUUAAUUUGGUGUUGCGGGGAAUUUGGACUGUUACUUUGAAAAAAUUAGAGUGUUUAAAGCAAGCUAACGCUUGAAUACAUUAGCAUGGAAUAAUGAAAUAGGACGUUCGAUCCUAUUUUGUUGGUUUCUAGGAUUGACGUAAUGAUUAAUAGGGAUAGUUGGGGGCAUUAGUAUUCAAUUGUCAGAGGUGAAAUUCUUCGGAUUUAUUGAAGACUAACUACUGCGAAAGCAUUUGCCAAGGAUGUUUUCAUUCAAUCAAGAACGAAAGUUAGGGGAUCGAAGACGAUCAGAUACCGUCGUAGUCUUAACCAUAAACUAUGCCGACUAGGGAUCGGAUGAUGUUAAUUUUUUAAUGACUCAUUCGGCGCCUUACGGGAAACCAAAGUGUUUGGGUUC
This 801-nucleotide ribosomal RNA is filed under the name uncultured Glomus. RNAcentral's name for it is "SSU rRNA". It matches the Rfam family "Eukaryotic small subunit ribosomal RNA", at positions 314 to 1114 of the family's 1831-position model. Lineage: Eukaryota; Fungi; Glomeromycota; Glomeromycetes; Glomerales; Glomeraceae. The record is from RNAcentral.